RNAcentral lists this ribosomal RNA (440 nucleotides) under uncultured bacterium. RNAcentral describes it as "partial 16S ribosomal RNA". It matches the Rfam family "Bacterial small subunit ribosomal RNA", at positions 338 to 795 of the family's 1533-position model. The record is from RNAcentral.
CCUACGGGAGGCAGCAGUGGGGAAUAUUGCUCAAUGGGGGAAACCCUGAUGCAGCGACGCCGCGUGAGUGAGGAAGUAUUUCGGUAUGUAAAGCUCUAUCAGCAGGGAAGAAAAUGACGGUACCUGACUAAGAAGCUCCGGAGCACAACGUGCCAGCAGCCGCGGUAAUACGUAGGGGGCCAGCGUUAUACGGAUUUACUGGGUGUAAAGGGAGCGUAGACGGCGAAUCAAGUCAGAAGUGAAAACCACGGGCUCAACCUUGGGAGUGCUUUUGAAACUGAGUAGGUAGAGUGCAGGAGAGGUAAGCGGAAUGCGUAGUGUAGCGGUGAAAUGCGUAGAUAUUAGGAGGAACACCAGUGGCGAAGGCGGCUUACUGGACUGUAACUGACGUUGAGGCUCGAAAGCGUGGGGAGCAAACAGGAUUAGAUACCCUUGUAGUC